Molecule: ribosomal RNA, 1418 nt
Filed under: Vibrio chemaguriensis
Lineage: Bacteria; Pseudomonadati; Pseudomonadota; Gammaproteobacteria; Vibrionales; Vibrionaceae
Description: partial 23S ribosomal RNA
Rfam family: Bacterial large subunit ribosomal RNA
Source: RNAcentral
GUUGUAUGGUUAAGUGACUAAGCGUACACGGUGGAUGCCUUGGCAGUCAGAGGCGAUGAAGGACGUAUUAACUUGCGAUAAGCCCAGAUUAGGUAGUAAAAACCACUUGAGUCUGGGAUUUCCGAAUGGGGAAACCCACUUACAUAAGUAAGUAUCGUUAUGUGAAUACAUAGCAUAACGAGGCGAACCGGGGGAACUGAAACAUCUAAGUACCCCGAGGAAAAGAAAUCAACCGAGAUUCCGAAAGUAGCGGCGAGCGAAAUUGGACUAGCCCUUAAGCUUUAUAGGCGUUAGGUGAACAAGCUGGAAAGCUUGGCGAUACAGGGUGAUAGCCCCGUAACUGACGACGCAUAUUCAGUGAAAUCGAGUAGGGCGGGACACGUGAUAUCCUGUCUGAAUAUGGGGGGACCAUCCUCCAAGGCUAAAUACUACUGACUGACCGAUAGUGAACCAGUACCGUGAGGGAAAGGCGAAAAGAACCCCUGUGAGGGGAGUGAAAUAGAACCUGAAACCGUGUACGUACAAGCAGUAGGAGCAGGCUUUGUCCUGUGACUGCGUACCUUUUGUAUAAUGGGUCAGCGACUUAUAUUCAGUGGCAAGGUUAACCAUCUAGGGGAGCCGUAGGGAAACCGAGUCUUAACUGGGCGUUCAGUCUCUGGAUAUAGACCCGAAACCAGGUGAUCUAGCCAUGGGCAGGUUGAAGGUUGAGUAACAUCAACUGGAGGACCGAACCGACUAAUGUUGAAAAAUUAGCGGAUGACUUGUGGCUAGGGGUGAAAGGCCAAUCAAACCUGGAGAUAGCUGGUUCUCCCCGAAAGCUAUUUAGGUAGCGCCUCGGACGAAUACUACUGGGGGUAGAGCACUGUUAAGGCUAGGGGGUCAUCCCGACUUACCAACCCUUUGCAAACUCCGAAUACCAGUAAGUACUAUCCGGGAGACACACGGCGGGUGCUAACGUCCGUCGUGGAGAGGGAAACAACCCAGACCGCCAGCUAAGGUCCCAAAUUACUACUAAGUGGGAAACGAUGUGGGAAGGCUCAGACAGCCAGGAUGUUGGCUUAGAAGCAGCCAUCAUUUAAAGAAAGCGUAAUAGCUCACUGGUCGAGUCGGCCUGCGCGGAAGAUGUAACGGGGCUAAGUAGUAAACCGAAGCUGCGGCAAUGCACUUUAGUGCAUUGGGUAGGGGAGCGUUCUGUAAGCGGUUGAAGGUGUGUGGUAACGCAUGCUGGACGUAUCAGAAGUGCGAAUGCUGACAUGAGUAACGAUAAAGGGGGUGAAAAACCUCCUCGCCGGAAGACCAAGGGUUCCUGUCCAACGUUAAUCGGGGCAGGGUAAGUCGACCCCUAAGGCGAGGCCGAAAGGCGUAGUCGAUGGGAAACGGGUUAAUAUUCCCGUACUUCUUACAAUUGCGAUGGGGGG